Molecule: ribosomal RNA, 641 nt
Filed under: Nephromopsis komarovii
Lineage: Eukaryota; Fungi; Ascomycota; Lecanoromycetes; Lecanorales; Parmeliaceae
Description: SSU rRNA
Rfam family: Bacterial small subunit ribosomal RNA
Source: RNAcentral
AAUAGCUACUUGCAUCAUUGUAAAUAUGAUGCAAGAUCGACUAUGUCGAAUAAAAUUCUAGGUAGAAUUAUGAUAAUGACAUUGUCUGCCUAUGUGUCUUGACCAAAUUACGUGCCAGCAGUCGCGGUAAUACGUAGAAGACUAGUGUUAUUCAUGUUUAAUCGGUUUAAAGGGUACCUAGACGGUAAAUCAAGCCUAAAAGGAAAUAAAUGAAGGGACUAAUUUACUAGAGUUACUUAUGAGGGGGUAUUAAAGUACUGCUGGUGUAGAGAUGAAAUUCUGUCAUACCUCUUUUCAAUAGAAAAAUAAUGGCACAGGUAUAGGCGAAAGCAUCCCCUUAUGUGAUAACUGACGUUGAGGGACGAAGGCUUUGUGUAGCGAACAGGAUUAGAUACCCCAGUAGUCAAAGCAGAAAAUGAUGAAUGUCAUAGAUUAGAUAUAUAAGUUUAUUCUAUAAAUGAAAGUGUAAGCAUUCCACCUCAAGAGUAAUUUGGCAACAUUGGAACUGAAAUCAUUAGACCGUUUCUGAAACCAGUAGUGAAGUAUGUUGUUUAAUUUGAUGAUCCGCAAAAAACCUUACCACAAUUUGAAUAUUUAUAUCUUUUAUUGUUUUUCUUUUUAACUUUCUUCUGAUUUUCUAC